This 72-nucleotide transfer RNA is filed under the name Bacteroidota bacterium. RNAcentral describes it as "Bacteroidetes bacterium (hydrothermal vent metagenome) tRNA-His". It matches the Rfam family "tRNA". From Rfam's summary of the family: Transfer RNA (tRNA) molecules are approximately 80 nucleotides in length. Their secondary structure includes four short double-helical elements and three loops (D, anti-codon, and T loops). Further hydrogen bonds mediate the characteristic L-shaped molecular structure. tRNAs have two regions of fundamental functional importance: the anti-codon, which is responsible for specific mRNA codon recognition, and the 3' end, to which the tRNAs corresponding amino acid is attached (by aminoacyl-tRNA synthetases). tRNAs cope with the degeneracy of the genetic code in two manners: having more than one tRNA (with a specific anti-codon) for a particular amino acid; and 'wobble' base-pairing, i.e. permitting non-standard base-pairing at the 3rd anti-codon position. The record is from RNAcentral. Lineage: Bacteria; Pseudomonadati; Bacteroidota.
GUGAGCGUAGCUCAACGGCAGAGCACCAGGCUGUGGCCCUGGGGGUUGUGGGUUCGAAUCCCAUCGCUCACC